AACGCAGCUCUGAGCCAGACUUGGGGAGCUGCCCGAUAGGGUCACAGGGACGUGAGAGUGGGCCUGGGUCUCACGCCUUCUGACCCCCUGCCAGGCGGCCUCUCCCUCAUUUCAGCAGGAGGGCG
Molecule: microRNA precursor, 125 nt
Organism: Equus caballus (horse)
Lineage: Eukaryota; Metazoa; Chordata; Mammalia; Perissodactyla; Equidae
Source: Ensembl